AUGAGCAAGUUCAUGAAAACCUGGGAAAGUGGUGUUUGUCCUGGCCAUACACUACCCUGGAUGCAAAGCCGUCAUUGUGAAGAACAUUGAUGAUGGCACCUCAGAUCGCCUCUGCAGCCAUGCUCUGGUGGCUGGAAUUGACCACUAUCCCUGCAAAGUGACAGCUGCCAUAGGCAAGAAGAUAGCCAAGAGGUCAAACAUCAAGUCUUUUGUGAAAGUUUAUAACUACAUCAAAUCAUCUACUGCCCACAAGGUACUCUGUGGAUAUCCCCUUGGACAAAACUGUUGUCAGUAACGAUGUCUUCAGAGAUCCUGCUCUUAAACGCAGGGCCCGAAGAGAGGCCAAGGUCAAGUUCCAAGACAGGAACAAGAUGGGCAAGAACGAGUGGUUCUUCCAGAAGCUAUAGUUUUAG
Molecule: long non-coding RNA, 413 nt
Filed under: Homo sapiens (human)
Lineage: Eukaryota; Metazoa; Chordata; Mammalia; Primates; Hominidae
Description: non-protein coding lnc-TMEM185B-7:1
Source: RNAcentral